GGGUUGUGAGGUUAAGCGACUAAGCGUACACGGUGGAUGCCCUGGCAGUCAGAGGCGAUGAAGGACGUGCUAAUCUGCGAUAAGCGUCGGUAAGGUGAUAUGAACCGUUAUAACCGGCGAUUUCCGAAUGGGGAAACCCAGUGUGUUUCGACACACUAUCAUUAACUGAAUCCAUAGGUUAAUGAGGCGAACCGGGGGAACUGAAACAUCUAAGUACCCCGAGGAAAAGAAAUCAACCGAGAUUCCCCCAGUAGCGGCGAGCGAACGGGGAGCAGCCCAGAGCCUGAAUCAGUGUGUGUGUUAGUGGAAGCGUCUGGAAAGGCGCGCGAUACAGGGUGACAGCCCCGUACACAAAAAUGCACAUGCUGUGAGCUCGAUGAGUAGGGCGGGACACGUGGUAUCCUGUCUGAAUAUGGGGGGACCAUCCUCCAAGGCUAAAUACUCCUGACUGACCGAUAGUGAACCAGUACCGUGAGGGAAAGGCGAAAAGAACCCCGGCGAGGGGAGUGAAAAAGAACCUGAAACCGUGUACGUACAAGCAGUGGGAGCACGCUUAGGCGUGUGACUGCGUACCUUUUGUAUAAUGGGUCAGCGACUUAUAUUCUGUAGCAAGGUUAACCGAAUAGGGGAGCCGAAGGGAAACCGAGUCUUAACUGGGCGUUAAGUUGCAGGGUAUAGACCCGAAACCCGGUGAUCUAGCCAUGGGCAGGUUGAAGGUUGGGUAACACUAACUGGAGGACCGAACCGACUAAUGUUGAAAAAUUAGCGGAUGACUUGUGGCUGGGGGUGAAAGGCCAAUCAAACCGGGAGAUAGCUGGUUCUCCCCGAAAGCUAUUUAGGUAGCGCCUCGUGAAUUCAUCUCCGGGGGUAGAGCACUGUUUCGGCAAGGGGGUCAUCCCGACUUACCAACCCGAUGCAAACUGCGAAUACCGGAGAAUGUUAUCACGGGAGACACACGGCGGGUGCUAACGUCCGUCGUGAAGAGGGAAACAACCCAGACCGCCAGCUAAGGUCCCAAAGUCAUGGUUAAGUGGGAAACGAUGUGGGAAGGCCCAGACAGCCAGGAUGUUGGCUUAGAAGCAGCCAUCAUUUAAAGAAAGCGUAAUAGCUCACUGGUCGAGUCGGCCUGCGCGGAAGAUGUAACGGGGCUAAACCAUGCACCGAAGCUGCGGCAGCGACACUAUGUGUUGUUGGGUAGGGGAGCGUUCUGUAAGCCUGUGAAGGUGUGCUGUGAGGCAUGCUGGAGGUAUCAGAAGUGCGAAUGCUGACAUAAGUAACGAUAAAGCGGGUGAAAAGCCCGCUCGCCGGAAGACCAAGGGUUCCUGUCCAACGUUAAUCGGGGCAGGGUGAGUCGACCCCUAAGGCGAGGCCGAAAGGCGUAGUCGAUGGGAAACAGGUUAAUAUUCCUGUACUUGGUGUUACUGCGAAGGGGGGACGGAGAAGGCUAUGUUGGCCGGGCGACGGUUGUCCCGGUUUAAGCGUGUAGGCUGGUUUUCCAGGCAAAUCCGGAAAAUCAAGGCUGAGGCGUGAUGACGAGGCACUACGGUGCUGAAGCAACAAAUGCCCUGCUUCCAGGAAAAGCCUCUAAGCAUCAGGUAACAUCAAAUCGUACCCCAAACCGACACAGGUGGUCAGGUAGAGAAUACCAAGGCGCUUGAGAGAACUCGGGUGAAGGAACUAGGCAAAAUGGUGCCGUAACUUCGGGAGAAGGCACGCUGAUAUGUAGGUGAAGUCCCUCGCGGAUGGAGCUGAAAUCAGUCGAAGAUACCAGCUGGCUGCAACUGUUUAUUAAAAACACAGCACUGUGCAAACACGAAAGUGGACGUAUACGGUGUGACGCCUGCCCGGUGCCGGAAGGUUAAUUGAUGGGGUUAGCGCAAGCGAAGCUCUUGAUCGAAGCCCCGGUAAACGGCGGCCGUAACUAUAACGGUCCUAAGGUAGCGAAAUUCCUUGUCGGGUAAGUUCCGACCUGCACGAAUGGCGUAAUGAUGGCCAGGCUGUCUCCACCCGAGACUCAGUGAAAUUGAACUCGCUGUGAAGAUGCAGUGUACCCGCGGCAAGACGGAAAGACCCCGUGAACCUUUACUAUAGCUUGACACUGAACAUUGAGCCUUGAUGUGUAGGAUAGGUGGGAGGCUUUGAAGUGUGGACGCCAGUCUGCAUGGAGCCGACCUUGAAAUACCACCCUUUAAUGUUUGAUGUUCUAACGUGGACCCGUAAUCCGGGUUGCGGACAGUGUCUGGUGGGUAGUUUGACUGGGGCGGUCUCCUCCUAAAGAGUAACGGAGGAGCACGAAGGUUGGCUAAUCCUGGUCGGACAUCAGGAGGUUAGUGCAAUGGCAUAAGCCAGCUUGACUGCGAGCGUGACGGCGCGAGCAGGUGCGAAAGCAGGUCAUAGUGAUCCGGUGGUUCUGAAUGGAAGGGCCAUCGCUCAACGGAUAAAAGGUACUCCGGGGAUAACAGGCUGAUACCGCCCAAGAGUUCAUAUCGACGGCGGUGUUUGGCACCUCGAUGUCGGCUCAUCACAUCCUGGGGCUGAAGUAGGUCCCAAGGGUAUGGCUGUUCGCCAUUUAAAGUGGUACGCGAGCUGGGUUUAGAACGUCGUGAGACAGUUCGGUCCCUAUCUGCCGUGGGCGCUGGAGAACUGAGGGGGGCUGCUCCUAGUACGAGAGGACCGGAGUGGACGCAUCACUGGUGUUCGGGUUGUCAUGCCAAUGGCACUGCCCGGUAGCUAAAUGCGGAAGAGAUAAGUGCUGAAAGCAUCUAAGCACGAAACUUGCCCCGAGAUGAGUUCUCCCUGACUCCUUGAGAGUCCUGAAGGAACGUUGAAGACGACGACGUUGAUAGGCCGGGUGUGUAAGCGCAGCGAUGCGUUGAGCUAACCGGUACUAAUGAACCGUGAGGCUUAACCUUACAACGCCGAAGGUGUUU
RNAcentral lists this ribosomal RNA (2930 nucleotides) under Escherichia coli. RNAcentral describes it as "23S ribosomal RNA". It matches the Rfam family "Bacterial large subunit ribosomal RNA". The record is from RNAcentral. Lineage: Bacteria; Pseudomonadati; Pseudomonadota; Gammaproteobacteria; Enterobacterales; Enterobacteriaceae.